This is a non-coding RNA of Rattus norvegicus (Norway rat), 1323 nucleotides long. Lineage: Eukaryota; Metazoa; Chordata; Mammalia; Rodentia; Muridae. The record is from RefSeq and is a predicted model, not a curated record.
GAUUUAUGAUCCAUUUUUAAUUUCCCUUCCAUCUUGCCUGUGUAUCCCCUCUUCUCCCCCAUCCCCACCCCCAGAUUGCCAACAGGGACCUCAGAGCCAUGGCUAGGGUGUGAGAACAAGUAGUAGCCAGAGAGGCAACCAUCUACCAACCACAGCAGCCCUUCCCUGAUUCCACUCCAGGGAGCCAGGGCAUUCUGCUCUUGGUUUCUGGGCUGACACUGUUAUCUCAGCUCUACUCCCCACAGUGCUUCUGGGAACCUAGAGAGACUUUUCUCCAUGAUCUUCCACCCCUGCUUCAUGAGCCUACCUUCUUCAUCUCCUCCAACAAUUGUGUAAAGUCUGGUUCGCAUACUGAUGGGUUUAUUUUGACAGCUUCCUACUUCUCUGACUGAGCCCCAGUAGAUGCAGUCCCUGAUGACAUCAUAGAAGAGGUUCUGUACCAAACCUGCCGUCUCUGCUUCUGGACCCUCACGUGAAGGGGGAAGCAUACUUUACCUUUUAACACUCUACCAGCUUUCCCUCAUGGCUUUCCUGGAGCCUAGCUGCCUCUCCUAGGUCAGGGCAGGAUAGAGACCCACCACAGUGCCUUGUCGUGGGCUCCCCUUCUCACAGCCUGUAGCUUAAGUAACUAUUCCUUCUCCCACUCCCACUCCUGCUCCAGACAGCACGUUCACCUGGAGGGGUCCUGCUUACCCUGCAGUUUUUCCCGGCUUCAUGAUGUCAUUGUUGAGUGUCAUAAAAAGCAUUAUAUGACACCCGGGACUCGGUCUGUGAUCAUUCCACAACCGCCUCCUCUGCUAGACUCUCUUUUUCUCCAAGCCUGUAACACAGAGCUCCAGUGGCCAUUCUUAGAGCCUGGAUUACUUCUGUGUAGAAAGUUCUAGGAGGAGGAACAGUGAAGAAGCAUCUGGAAGCCACGGGAGGGGAGAGAUGGCUUCAUCUUCUGCCUUUCCCAGAAGUCCAACUCUUUGUCCAUCCCAGGAAAGGAUUCCCUCGAUCCCCUAGGACCACCACCGGCCCUAUUACAAAAUUUCUCUCAAAGGCAGUAGACUAAUUAAUGGUCACCCUCUUUUAGGCCGAGCUACCUGAGGCUUCAAUUAGUGCCACUUCAAAAGCUUUCCGAAGCAGGAGGGCACACCUGUCAUGGUGACUCAUGUGUGGAAAUCAGAGGACGGUUUUAGGAGCUGGUUCAUUUCUUCCACCGUGUUGUUGCCAGAGAUCCGACUCAAGUCCAGGCUCAGCAGUGAAUGCAUUUCCCUGCGAACUCUCUCAUCAGCCCUGUGCUUUCUCAACUUUUUCUAAUAAAAAGAUACGUAGAGGCAA